This 119-nucleotide ribosomal RNA is filed under the name Scophthalmus maximus (turbot). Lineage: Eukaryota; Metazoa; Chordata; Actinopteri; Pleuronectiformes; Scophthalmidae. The record is from RNAcentral.
GCUUAUGGCCACACCGCCUGGUUCACGGCUGAUCUCGUUUGAUCUCGGAAGCUAAGAUAGGGUGGCCCUGGUUAGUACUUGGAUGGGAGACCGCCUGGGAAUACCAGGUGUUGUAAGAU